RNAcentral lists this ribosomal RNA (809 nucleotides) under gut metagenome. RNAcentral describes it as "bacterial SSU rRNA". It matches the Rfam family "Bacterial small subunit ribosomal RNA", at positions 90 to 915 of the family's 1533-position model. The record is from RNAcentral.
ACUUAGUGGCGAACGGGUGAGUAACGCGUGAGGAACCUGCCUCAAAGAGGGGGACAACAGUUGGAAACGACUGCUAAUACCGCAUAAGCCCACAGCUCCGCAUGGAGCAGAGGGAAAAGGAGUGAUCCGCUUUGAGAUGGCCUCGCGUCCGAUUAGCUAGUUGGUGAGGUAACGGCCCACCAAGGCGACGAUCGGUAGCCGGACUGAGAGGUUGAUCGGCCACAUUGGGACUGAGACACGGCCCAGACUCCUACGGGAGGCAGCAGUGGGGAAUAUUGCACAAUGGGGGAAACCCUGAUGCAGCGACGCCGCGUGGAGGAAGAAGGUCUUCGGAUUGUAAACUCCUGUUGUUGGGGAAGAUAAUGACGGUACCCAACAAGGAAGUGACGGCUAACUACGUGCCAGCAGCCGCGGUAAAACGUAGGUCACAAGCGUUGUCCGGAAUUACUGGGUGUAAAGGGAGCGCAGGCGGGAAGACAAGUUGGGAGUGAAAUCUAUGGGCUCAACCCAUAAACUGCUUUCAAAACUGUUUUUCUUGAGUAGUGCAGAGGUAGGCGGAAUUCCCGGUGUAGCGGUGGAAUGCGUAGAUAUCGGGAGGAACACCAGUGGCGAAGGCGGCCUACUGGGCACCAACUGACGCUGAGGCUCGAAAGUGUGGGUAGCAAACAGGAUUAGAUACCCUGGUAGUCCACACCGUAAACGAUGAUUACUAGGUGUUGGGGGAUUGACCCCCUCAGUGCCGCAGUUAACACAAUAAGUAAUCCACCUGGGGAGUACGACCGCAAGGUUGAAACUCAAAGGAAUUGACG